This 253-nucleotide ribosomal RNA is filed under the name uncultured bacterium. RNAcentral describes it as "partial 16S ribosomal RNA". It matches the Rfam family "Bacterial small subunit ribosomal RNA", at positions 524 to 776 of the family's 1533-position model. The record is from RNAcentral.
UACAGAGGGGGCAAGCGUUAUUCGGAAUUAUUGGGCGUAAAGGGCGCGUAGGCGGCCUGGCAAGUGGAUGGUGAAAUCCCUCGGCUUAACCGAGGAACUGCCAUCCAGACUGCUUGGCUUGAGACCGGGAGAGGUGAAUGGAAUUCCCAGUGUAGCGGUGAAAUGCGUAGAUAUUGGGAGGAACACCAGUGGCGAAGGCGGCUCACUGGACCGGUACUGACGCUGAGGCGCGAAAGCGUGGGGAGCAAACGGG